GCGGACACUUGGAACUUUCGAACGAACAAAAUAUUCAAAUUUUCAAACAUGUUCAAAACUUCAUAAAAAGGUCAAACAGAUUUCUUAUGCCUUGAUAGAGCGUUAUUAUUACUGACACGGAACGUCAUCAUUGUCAUCAAUUCACAAGUCAUCGUCACAGAAUUAUACGACUUUUCAAACUUUCUUUUUCUCUUUUUAUUUUCUAUCCUCUUUGUUCACCUAUCAAAGCUAGUAUUAUAUUGCAUAAAUUGUUUGUUUUAUAUGCAUGUCCAUUAUAUUAUACUAUU
Molecule: long non-coding RNA, 287 nt
Filed under: Mytilus galloprovincialis (Mediterranean mussel)
Lineage: Eukaryota; Metazoa; Mollusca; Bivalvia; Mytilida; Mytilidae
Source: RNAcentral